UACGUAGGGUGCAAGCGUUAAUCGGAAUUACUGGGCGUAAAGCGUGCGCAGGCGGUUGUGUAAGUCUGACGUGAAAUCCCCGGGCUUAACCUGGGAAUGGCGUUGGAGACUGCACGGCUAGAGUGUGUCAGAGGGAGGUAGAAUUCCACGUGUAGCAGUGAAAUGCGUAGAUAUGUGGAGGAAUACCGAUGGCGAAGGCAGCCUCCUGGGAUAACACUGACGCUCAUGCACGAAAGCGUGGGUAGCAAACAGG
Molecule: ribosomal RNA, 253 nt
Filed under: uncultured bacterium
Lineage: Bacteria
Description: partial 16S ribosomal RNA
Rfam family: Bacterial small subunit ribosomal RNA
Source: RNAcentral